UCAAUGGUUUAAAAAAGUUAUUAACUAAUACUGUUCUGUAAAAAGUCAGAGUCCUAAACAUUUCAACUCACAUAAAAUCAUAUGAAGAUGUGUUUUUGUUUUAUUUUGUUAAUGAAUAGAGAAAUCAAGUUCAUCUUUAAUGUUUUAAAUAUCAUCGAUCCAUCACCUUUCACCAUCACAGUCUCGCAGUAAAAUCAAUUUCC
Molecule: non-coding RNA, 203 nt
Organism: Schizosaccharomyces pombe (fission yeast)
Lineage: Eukaryota; Fungi; Ascomycota; Schizosaccharomycetes; Schizosaccharomycetales; Schizosaccharomycetaceae
Source: the annotation of a GenBank genome assembly